AAGAUACUAGUAAAAAGAUAUUACACUGCCUUGUCGAGGCAAAAUCGGAGGUUUAACCCCUCCGUAUCUUA
RNAcentral lists this transfer RNA (71 nucleotides) under Macropodus hongkongensis. RNAcentral describes it as "tRNA-Asp". It matches the Rfam family "tRNA". Rfam says of the family: Transfer RNA (tRNA) molecules are approximately 80 nucleotides in length. Their secondary structure includes four short double-helical elements and three loops (D, anti-codon, and T loops). The record is from RNAcentral. Lineage: Eukaryota; Metazoa; Chordata; Actinopteri; Anabantiformes; Osphronemidae.